CCCAGAGGUAUUGAUUGGUGAUGUGAGGAUCUUCCCGCCGGAAGAUCGACCAACAAUUACACCGACCUACGCGGAUGCGUAGGUUUUUUUU
RNAcentral lists this small RNA (91 nucleotides) under Edwardsiella tarda. RNAcentral's name for it is "OmrA-B family". It matches the Rfam family "OmrA-B family". The record is from RNAcentral. Lineage: Bacteria; Pseudomonadati; Pseudomonadota; Gammaproteobacteria; Enterobacterales; Hafniaceae. RNAcentral also lists the same sequence under 1 other name.